GAUGAACGCGGGCGGCGUGCCUAACACAUGCAAGUCGAACGAAGCUAUGAGACGGAAGCCUUCGGGUGGAAGACUGAUAGACUGAGUGGCGGACGGGUGAGUAACGCGUGGGCAACCUGCCCCAUACCGGGGGAUAGCAGUUGGAAACGACUGGUAAAACCGCAUAAGCGCACGGUAAGGCAUCUUACAGUGUGAAAAGCUCCGGUGGUAUGGGAUGGGCCCGCGUCUGAUUAGCCAGUUGGUGAGGUAACGGCUCACCAAAGCGACGAUCAGUAGCCGGCCUGAGAGGGCGGACGGCCACAUUGGGACUGAGACACGGCCCAGACUCCUACGGGAGGCAGCAGUGGGGGAUAUUGCACAAUGGAGGAAACUCUGAUGCAGCGACGCCGCGUGAGUGAAGAAGUAUUUUGGUAUGUAAAGCUCUAUCAGCAGGGAAGAAAGGCUCGCAAGAGAGAUGACGGUACCUGAGUAAGAAGCUCCGGCUAAAUACGUGCCAGCAGCCGCGGUAAUACGUAUGGAGCAAGCGUUAUCCGGAUUUACUGGGUGUAAAGGGAGCGCAGACGGGUAUGCAAGUCUGAAGUGAAACCCCACGGCUCAACCGUGGGCUUGCUUUGGAAACUGUAGAUCUAGAGUACUGGAGAGGUAAGCGGAAUUCCUGGUGUAGCGGUGAAAUGCGUAGAUAUCAGGAAGAACAUCGGCGGCGAAGGCGGCUUACUGGACAGCAACUGACGUUGAGGCUCGAAGGCGUGGGGAGCAAACAGG
RNAcentral lists this ribosomal RNA (762 nucleotides) under uncultured Butyrivibrio sp. RNAcentral describes it as "bacterial SSU rRNA". It matches the Rfam family "Bacterial small subunit ribosomal RNA", at positions 28 to 776 of the family's 1533-position model. Lineage: Bacteria; Bacillati; Bacillota; Clostridia; Lachnospirales; Lachnospiraceae. The record is from RNAcentral.